GGCGGCAUAGCUCAGUUGGCUAGAGCAUUCGGUUCAUACCCGGAGGGUCGUGGGUUCAAAUCCAACUGCCGCUACCA
Molecule: transfer RNA, 77 nt
Filed under: bioreactor metagenome
Description: tRNA-Met
Rfam family: tRNA
About the family: Transfer RNA (tRNA) molecules are approximately 80 nucleotides in length. Their secondary structure includes four short double-helical elements and three loops (D, anti-codon, and T loops).
Source: RNAcentral